Molecule: ribosomal RNA, 1686 nt
Filed under: Triticum aestivum (bread wheat)
Lineage: Eukaryota; Viridiplantae; Streptophyta; Magnoliopsida; Poales; Poaceae
Description: partial small subunit ribosomal RNA
Source: RNAcentral
AUGACAACUGCAAUAGUGGUGGGUGUUUCUACCGGCGCCAUGAAACCUGUUCUCGAUAAGCUGUCCAUUCUUAUGGGAGGCGAGUUCUCGAAGAUGAAAAACGUGCGGAAGGAUGUACAGUUUCUCAGUGAUGAGCUUACAAGCAUGAAAGAUCUUCUUGAGAACCUUGCACUUGUGGACGAGCUAGAUCCACAAACCAAGAGAUGGAGAGACAAAGUAAGGGACAUGUCUUAUGACAUUGAGAACAUUAUUGAUGACAUCAGGCGAAAAUUUGUGGAGAAAAAUGAAAAGGAAGGGCUUGCCAAGAAGACUGUUCGGUUCCUUCAAACUUUCAGAGCCCGUUACCAGAUUGCUGGCCAGAUUGAAGGGAUCAAGAAAUUAGUGCUUGAAACUAGUGACAGACGCAACAGGUAUAAGUUCAAUACUCCUCCGCCAAACGAUGUGGCCAUUGACCCACGAGUUGCCAUACUCCAACAAGAUGCAGAUAGCUUUGUCGGUUUGAAAGUGCCAACUGAUGAGCUCGUCGACUGGUUAAAUGACAAGGAGAUGCAUUUGAAGGUGGUAUCCAUUGUGGGAUUUGGAGGUCUGGGCAAAACUACACUCGCCAAUGAGAUAUACCGUCAACCCGAUGGAGGAUUUGAAUGUCGUGCAUUUGUCCCAGUGACACAAAAACAUAACAUCCCAAAACUUAUUCGUAGUUUACUAUCUGAACUUGGGAGUGAUGCAUGUUCUUAUGAUUGUGAAGUAAAUGUUCUUCUCAACAAACUCAAAGAACAUCUACAAAAAAAGAGGUACUUGAUUGUAAUUGAUGAUCUAUGGGAGAAGUUACCAUGGGAUGUUAUUAAAGGUGCUUUCCCAGAUAAUGGCCUUGGCAGUAGAGUAAUAACAACCACAAGAAUACAUGAUGUGGCUAAGGCAUGUUGCUCCCAUCCUCGUGAUUAUAUUUUGGAAAUGAAGCCACUUAGCGAUGAAGACUCAAGAAGACUGUUCUUUAAUAGGAUAUUUAACUCUGAAGAAGCUUGCCCUUGCCAGCUUCGGGAUAUUUCUACUGAAAUUCUCAAAAAAUGUGAUGGUAUGCCCCUUGCAAUUAUUACUGUAUCAGGCAUGCUAGCAAGUGAAUGCUUAGACCAACAGGAUUGGGAGCAUAUACGGAAUUCACUAGGUUCUGGAACAAAUUUCACGUUGAAAGGGAUGAGAAAAAUCUUAGAUCUCAGCUACAAGAACCUUCCUCCUCACCUCAAGACAUGCUUGUUGUAUCUUGGUAUGUAUCCCGAGGACUUCAAAAUACAGAGGCAUCAUUUGGAACUUCAAUGGAUUGCCGAAGGCUUUAUUAGUAAAGAGAAUGGGCAAGAUGUGGAGAAGGUUGCAAGAAGUUAUUUCAACGAGCUUGUCAAUAGGAGCCUUAUUCAACCUAUAAGAUUUGACAACUGUGGGUUGGUCACGCAUUGCAAAGUUCAUGAUAUGAUGCGUGAUCUUAUCUUGUGUAAAUGUGCAGAAGAAAAUUUUCUCACCAUAAUAGAUGAACCUGAAGCCAUCACAAAACCGGAUAACAAGGUCCGUCGAUUGUCUCUCCACCUGCAUGAUGAUGAAGUUAAUGGAACAGAGUUAUGGGUUAACAUUAGUCUGUCCCAAGUUCGGACUUUUAUGAUCUUUGGUGACCGUGAUGCUAAGAUAUUUAGCGGUUGA